GAGUUUGAUCGUGGCUCAGAUUGAACGCUGGCGGCAUGCCUUACACAUGCAAGUCGAACGGCAGCACGGGAGCUUGCUCCUGGUGGCGAGUGGCGAACGGGUGAGUAAUGCAUCGGAACGUACCCUGGAGUGGGGGAUAACGUAGCGAAAGUUACGCUAAUACCGCAUAUUCUGUGAGCAGGAAAGCGGGGGACCUUCGGGCCUCGCGCUCUUGGAGCGGCCGAUGUCGGAUUAGCUAGUUGGUGAGGUAAAGGCUCACCAAGGCGACGAUCAGUAGCCGGCCUGAGAGGGUGAACGGCCACACUGGGACUGAGACACGGCCCAGACUCCUACGGGAGGCAGCAGUGGGGAAUCUUCCGCAAUGGACGAAAGUCUGACGGAGCAACGCCGCGUGUAUGACGAAGGCCUCGGUUGUAAGUACUAGUC
Molecule: ribosomal RNA, 426 nt
Filed under: bacterium enrichment culture clone ALO1_GLFRUDD03FN5JR
Lineage: Bacteria
Description: bacterial SSU rRNA
Rfam family: Bacterial small subunit ribosomal RNA
Source: RNAcentral